Molecule: non-coding RNA, 660 nt
Organism: Solanum lycopersicum (tomato)
Lineage: Eukaryota; Viridiplantae; Streptophyta; Magnoliopsida; Solanales; Solanaceae
Source: RefSeq, a predicted model, not a curated record
CAGCUUUUCUGUGGGUCUUGUAUGUUGGCAAAGGUGAAGUUGCCGCAGAACAAAGUAAUAGGAUGUUUGCUCAAGAAAUUGUACUUAAAAUAUAUUUUUAGGGGUAUUAAGUCUAUACAAAAAAAUAAUGUUGGCUGAAGUGUGUCAAUUGUCCAACCUCCUCCCCCUUUUCUUCCUCCUGUAUAUUUCAAAGGAUACACUCUUCCCCCUGGAAAUCCAUGUGAAGGCUUCACGUUGCCACCCCCGCCAGCAGAUAAGAAGAGGAUUGGACCACGGCGUAAGUUUAAAAGUCUCGUAAUAACCUGAAAUUUUUCUCCUUUGAAUAGAUUGAAGGUCAGAAAUAUGAGUACUAAAUGUUGAACCUCAGUUUUCUUUUUCUUUUGUUUUUCCGCAUGUCCGGUGUGCUACCUUCCUGUUGAACAAGCUAUUGCAUUAAUGCCUGAUGCACCAUCCUUUUCUCCUGGUGUUAGCAAUUUGACUUACAUCCAUGAAGUAAAUUAGAGUAAAGUCGAUUUUGGAGGUUCAGAUUUCGGCGGAUAUCCUUCGCUAUUUCAGAGGAAUGAUUCUUAUGACAUAAGAGAGUCCAUGAGGGUGCAUUGUGGUUUUGUCAGAGGAGUCAAGCCUGGACAUCAGACAGGUUUUGACAUUGAUGAUUCUGAC